Molecule: long non-coding RNA, 411 nt
Filed under: Cicer arietinum (chickpea)
Lineage: Eukaryota; Viridiplantae; Streptophyta; Magnoliopsida; Fabales; Fabaceae
Description: long non-coding RNA (CARI_LNC000632)
Source: RNAcentral
GAAACAGAACUAGAGAAGAUAGCAAAAACCAAACCAAUUAUAACAAUCUCUGUUUAAAAAAGUUGAAUGCACAUUUGACAUUUCACCUUGAGCAAUCUAUGAUGUCGACUUCUGCCGACGGUGAGUUUUGAAUCAAAAAGUCCACUAUGCCAUUGGGUGUGGGUGAAAUGGUUCUGAUCCUGCUUUAAAUUCUUUUUGAAACUUGGCAGUUCUCAGUGUCAUGGAUAAUCCAUAUGAAAGUGGUUUUAGUUGUACUUUAAGCGAUUUCAAGUUACACAAGGAAGUGAGCUUAUCCUUCAAUAAAUCGGGAAUUAAGGAGAGAACCUGAACGAUGAGGGAUGAGGGUGAGGUAGGACUAGUUUGAUACAAUUCAAUUGAUUUUUGACAAAAGUUAGAAACAUGAAAAAUAAA